AUCGAGACAAAGCAAAAUAUAUUGUGGCAAAUUCUGCAGUUCAGAGUCGUGACAGAGUCAGAGCCUCCUAUUGCAGUGCGGGAGCCUUCUGCUUGUCUCCCCGCUGCCUAGGAUGCAGGGGCUUCCGAGCGGGGUUAAAUAGAAAUAAUACAGUAAAUAUACAGUUUCAAAAGUCCUUCAGGACAUGCAGCAAACGCCGGUGAUUCGGACUGGGUGAAGUUGUCAAAGGUUGCUUUGCUCUCCAGAGCCUGGCAGUAGCUCCACUGAAAUGUGAUGCCAUUGGUUUUCAGCAAAGGUUUCUUUCUGCAGGGCUGCAAACAGAGAUCAGCUGCUACUGUGUAUACACAACUAGGGAGCAAAUCAAGCAGCACAUUUAAGCAGCCUUUUUAACCCUGAGACUUUCCAAGAUUUCUUCUUCUUCACGCAGGAAGUUUCCUUUAUAUUGUCAGCUCUAGCACUUUGCUCAUGUAAUGAGAUCAGAGCUAGGAUCACUGCUGCACAGUAGAAAGACUUCCUUAAGACAUUUGUCCUUGAAACUGCACCAAACUCUUGGAAGAACCCAGAACCUCUGAGCAGUCUCUGUCAAGCACAGGUCGCAGCUAAAAUGCAUAGGUAGAUGCAGGACAAAUCCAGCUUUCCCUGUUCUUCUGAGCUGCCUUGCCAGACGGAGGGGGCGAUUGCUUGUGCCAGUCAGAAAGCUUUCCCAGGUGGCCAAAGAUCUGCUUUGGAUGUUCUCAAGCACUUCCAUCCUGACAAGGUUGAGCCUCUCCGCUCCCAUCUUUCACCCAAUAUCCCUACAGACUUCAGAAGGCAUGAGCUCCUCUUGCAAAAUGGUGGCUCUCUGUGUGUGGUGUAUCUCACUUUCUCCAGCUUGUCCUUGAAGGAAAGGACCCUCCACUAGGUUCAGGAACAGCCUGGGAGCCUUGAAAAAGAUAUCAAAACUAAGAAAUUUUUAGUAUCGCUGCUUAAACACGUACGUCCCAGAGAAGAGGUGGGACUGCAGAUGUGUGUGACCUUUGUUGUCUCCUACUAGCAGUCUUGGACUGUUCUCUGCUCGGCAAUGGCCACUCAUGACUUUGCUGGCACUGUUCAAGACAAUCGCACAGGCACAGCACCUGAAAGUUGGGUACUGGGAUGCAAAAUUGUUAUUGGUCCUAAAGGUUU
This 1164-nucleotide long non-coding RNA is filed under the name Calidris pugnax (ruff). RNAcentral describes it as "lncRNA (ENSCPUG00000018156.1)". The record is from RNAcentral. Lineage: Eukaryota; Metazoa; Chordata; Aves; Charadriiformes; Scolopacidae.